UAUUUAGCUGUCUGUCGUCUGCGGAAUGCGAAUAAAUGUCACCAUCGGAACUGACAUCAAAUCACAGUGAUGAGGCAGCCAGAAAAUGAGUGCAACUUUCAGGCAGACAACAGUCAUUUUGAGGAGUUGCUAUGUAAGACCUUCAACAAGAUGAAGGAGAGCAUCUAUGCACAGAUCCAUGCAGAGCUUAUCUGACUAAUGCUUCGGAGAGACUAAGACUGACAGAGUACAAUGGACUCACCAAACCUGAACUUGUGGAAGAUGGACCUGGGUUUACCACUGGACAGAGAAAAUCUCCGCUAAGAAAACUCUUCAAUGGUGGUUGCCAAGCAAUCUGUGACACUGGGACCUCUUAUUUGACCCGGCCAACAUCAGGAUGUGGAACAGAUUCUAAGGUUGAUCAGAGCUGCACCUCCUGUCGAUAUCAUCAAAGUAAAGGAAACCGAGAUGUAAGAGACACUUGGCAAGGGUGGAUUCAUCAGAAAAGACAUCUAAAACCCAUGGGCGCUCUUUGGAUCCUUGGUGACAUCUUCAUUGGUAAUAACUACCCGGAGUUAACCAAGAUGGGAGAGACACUUUGCAAGAGUGGAUUCAUCAGAAUAGACACACCUAUAAACCUCUUUGGAUCCUCAGUGACAUCUUCAUUGGUAAUAACUACUCCAAGUUUGAUCAAGUGAAAGUAAUAGUUUCCCAUCUUAUAAAAAAAAAUUCAGUGUAAUAGGAAACAUCAUUAUAUUUUCCAUGGCACAACUGAAAACAUUUAGGCAUAACGUAAAAUAGAGGCCCAAUUUUCAGUGUAACAGUUCUUUGAAGUCUUAUCAUUUUUUUGGCCAAAAAUGAGUGAAAACAUGUUGCCCACCUAUAUAAUCUUAACCAUUUUCGUUAUUUGCCCAUUUGAAGCUGCAAUAACCAAGAGAAGACAAAAUGAGUACAAACAUGUUGCCCACAUACAAUCUCACCCAAUUUGCCAAUUUGCUUAUUGGGGGGGGCAAAUUUUGCCCCCCCCCCCAAAAAAAAAAAAAACAACAACAACAGAUUUUGAUCAUUUGUGAACUCACCUUUAUUUUGUGCAAUGGGAAACAUAACUUUAUUUUUGUUUAGCCUAACUAAAAGAAACAAAAUGUUGCCCACCUUUUACCCAAAUUCAGUGUAAAAUUCAAUAUAUAAUUUUGUAUGGACCAACUUUGAACAAACAGUAUUUUUUGAUGUUUUCAGAAACAUGGCUAAUGUUUUUUGAACAAACUGUAUUUUUUGGUGUAAUAAGAAACAUGGCUGUUUUUUUACCUAAAUUUGGGCAAUAGGUGAGCAACAUCUUUUUUCUCUCAGUUAGGCAUAACAAUUAAAAUUAGAGGUAGUAUACAGGAUAGUGCAGGAUAAUGGUCAUCUUAAAACAAAAUUGAAAGCAUACUGAUUUUGGAAAAAUUUAUCUGAAAAAAUGUCUGGGAAAAAAUGGAUCUUACAUCAAUGCUUGUUUUAGAAACCAAACUUUUUUUUUCUUCUCCUGUUUCACACAUCAGAGUUUAACUUUUUGUCAGCUCUACUGAAGGCACUUGACACUAUUGGUAAUUACUCAAA
Molecule: long non-coding RNA, 1575 nt
Organism: Asterias rubens (European starfish)
Lineage: Eukaryota; Metazoa; Echinodermata; Asteroidea; Forcipulatida; Asteriidae
Exons: 4
Source: RefSeq, a predicted model, not a curated record